CAACCCUCAAGCCCAGCUUGGUGUUGGGAGCUGCAGUCCUGCUGCACUCCCCAAAUACAUUGGCGGUCACGUCGAGCUUCCAUAGCGUAGUAAUUUACACAUCGUUACUGGUAAUCGUCGCGGCCACGCCGUUAAACCCCAACUUCUGAAUG
RNAcentral lists this unclassified non-coding RNA (152 nucleotides) under uncultured Gibberella. Its description in RNAcentral is "sequence contains ITS2". Lineage: Eukaryota; Fungi; Ascomycota; Sordariomycetes; Hypocreales; Nectriaceae. The record is from RNAcentral.